CACAAUAUAAUCAUCUGGAAAACUUUUAAAAAAUUUCUGAGCCGCACCUCUGAUCAAUUAAAAUCAGAUACUGGGUGAGACUGGGCAUUCCUACUGUUUUUAAAGCUCCCUUAGGGAUUCUAACGUUCGCUGGGGUUGAGAGCAUUGAUUUAGAGUAAACCCUAUUAUACAGUGCAGUAAGAAAUAUAUAUUUAAAUUUUAAGUGAGAAGGCCAUUUUUUAUAAGAGUUUGAAGUCACCUUACAAACCUCAUGAUAUAUUCUGUCCAUUUUUCAAUGAUGACCCAAACCAGAAAUCAAAAGCACCUGAGAUCAUGCUGAGCCUGUGGGAUUAUGAGUCAGUGAUCAUACAGCAGCCUUUAAAAGAGGCAGUUCCUUGAUGUGUGCUGACCCUCUUUCCACGGUGGCCAUCUCUCCAGACCAAAGUGAAAUGUGACCUGCAGCUUUGAGAUGUCUCCUAGAAUGAAUAAUCUCCAGGUAUAUUCAAAACCAUUAAUUGCCUCUGAAGGGAGCAAAAUGAGGCUUCCCCAGAAUCCUGUUAUUUGAAGGAGAGAUACUGAGCUCAGUGUUUGCUGCUUCAGUGAGUUCCUAUGGCCAAGGUAUUCAUGUUGCGCUUGAACUAUGAAGUUUGAAAGGAAUAACUUGGGCAGAGAACUUUGUUGUAUUAGCGUGAAUGCACUGAAGGCCUUGUAAAGAAGGUUGUUUGAAUUACAUGUAUGUUAAACAGUUUCAGAAGAAGUGUUUCCACUUUAGGUUUUUGCGCAAUAAAACCCAAAUUGCAGUUUUGACUACUGAGCUGAGUCUUUUAACUUGCUUUUUUCAAAAAUAAUAAAUCCCCCUAAUGAUGACUAUGCAGCACUGUCACACCCUGACAGUCUAUCUCUUCAACCCCUAUGUCAUUAAAAGAUCUGA
Molecule: long non-coding RNA, 910 nt
Filed under: Homo sapiens (human)
Lineage: Eukaryota; Metazoa; Chordata; Mammalia; Primates; Hominidae
Description: PREDICTED lncRNA (TCONS_00246509)
Source: RNAcentral